CUACUCUCCGUGCGAUCCCUCUCCGCACCGUCAAUCACGCAGCUGGUGCUCGAUCCCCGCGCGAUCCUUUUCCCCACGCCAUCGUCCGACCCCUCUCCUCCCCGCGAUCCUUUCUUCCCAGCACUCCUUCCUCUCCGCGCCGUCAAUCACGCACCAACGCUCCUUCCACCGCGCGACCCUUCCUUCGAUAAAAGGUGGAAGGCUCCCAAUCCAAAUCUCCGUUGCAAAUCCCAUCGGGUGCCGCUCUCGCCAUCUCCCACCAGCCGCACUCUUCCUCAUGCGUGGCACACUUGGCCAUCCUCCGCCAUCACCAUUGCCCACCACCCUCACCCUUGCCCUCGCACGAAUCCGGCUGCUACUCGCGCGCGAUUUUGGUUUUGGAGCAAAAAUUCCAUCCCGGCCACCAUAUAUGCCUUCUCAUGUGUCUUCUUCAACCCCAAUCCACCCCUGUGUUCACCCAAGAUGUCGACGAUGGAGAGCAAGGCAGUGGCUUUGGCUAGGAAGAAGAAGGGCACGACUGUGACGACGAUAGCCAUCACUAGCAGUAGCCAUCACCAUGCCGCCAUAGCACCUAUUCCCAUUGGUUGACGCGGCGGCGGCAACAGCUCCCUCAGCCGGCUUCGGCACAACUACCUUGACUUCCUCCCAGGCCGGAUUUCGCGCAGCGGCGGCGGCAGCGGCUUCCUCCUAGGCCAGAUUUGGUGUGGCGGCGACGGCGGCUUCCUCCCAGACCGGAUUUGGUGCGGCGGCGGCGGCGGCUUCCACCAUGGCUGGAUUUGGCACGGCAACAGCUGAUUCGUCCCCGAUCUAUGGCAGAAGCUUCACCAGUGCUUCUCCUGUUUGGUGGGAUGCAGCCGACGGGGGAUCUCCAAUUUCUCCCGCAUUUCAGCAUCCAGCAAGUUGGGAUCGAUGCAUGACUUCAACCAAACGGCAACAGGAUGGUGUAUGGUAAUCAGGACUAAUACUGUGAGUCCGAUGGCGGCGAUGAUCACCAUCUCUGUACCUGUCCUGUUCAUAUCGCUCCCUACUUCUGCUCCGGCUUCGCCUUCUAUAGUCUCUGUCCUGAUAAUCCUCUCGAUACCUUCACAAAUGGCUAGCACUCAUAUUAAAAAUAAAGAUAAUUCAUCUGAAAUACUAUACCAAUUUUAGUACUAUGAGUAACAGAGCUAUCAUCCCAGCUGAAAAUUUCUUAAGUUAUAUUGUAUAGGUCUAAUUUGGUGCCUUCGUGGUACCAUUUGGGCACUUGAGCAAUAACCAUGAAACACAACACCAUUUUGCAGGGGCCCUUGUAUGCUAUAGCCUAUCACAAAGGUAAUAUGUGCAGCAUACAUUCAUUUUCAUUUCAUAUUUUAUAGUGGAAUAGUAUUCCUUUAAUCCUCUUUAUUUGGCAUUGUAGCAGUUAAACGAGACAGCUAGGAGUACAUCUCUACUAAAGUAGUGAAGUGUGCCUAUUCCAUUUAGUGCAAGCAACACUUUUCUUUGUUUAUUGGUUAAUAAGCCUAAACAUGAGCAGUUUGGGAGACAAACAUAUUUAGUACGCAGCAAGAUUCACAAAGUCAAUAAGGGCAUGAGGUCAUAGCUAGCUUUUCCUUCAGUGCAUGCAAUUUUGAAACAUCAUACACAAAGGGAACAGAGGGAGUACCAAGUAUGUCAUUGUCAAGAUUCAAAUAUGCAGGCUAUUUCUUACCUUGGUCUUGGACUGCGGCUUCUGAAACGACCCCUUGGCUUUGGAUUUUCUUCUGUAAUUCUACCCCUAUGGCUGCAAACACAAACAAGAAGGCAAUGCUUAAUAAGUGAAAUUGCUUUUAGUGUUUUGCCAUUCUCUGAGUUGUAUUGAUGCACUUAAUAGAUAGUAAAAUGAUAGUAUCAACAUAUUUUACAUGAUAGCAAGCGGCAUUCUUGAUUAUUGUAAUGGGUGUUUUCUUAGAAAAGAAACAAUAUGAGUUAAACAGGCCAUGUAAUGUGACUUUUGUCCUCUGCUAGAUGUGUAAACAAGUAAUUUGGGUUUGUAUGUCUAAUAGAAACACUCUUACUUGCCAUUUCAAAGUUCUUACUUGCCCAUCUAAUAGAUUUCAGUAUUAGAUGGGCAAAUGCAGUAGCAUUUAGAUUACACAAGAAUUUAGAACUUGGUAAUUUUUGUUACCAUAAUUUUAGUCUAGGACAUGAAAAAUCAGGAAUAUAUUUUUAUUGGAGUGCAAGUUGAGAUAUCAGAAGACAUGCAACUGGUGCUUGCAGAUUCUCUCAUGCAGCUGUAUGCAGCUGCUGCAUUUUGGCUUUAAUAGGUGAGACAAGAAUGUGUCUCUUCCCGCCCCCGUGAAAUAUAGUUAUUACUUAUGACUGUUUAGCUAGCUCCAUGCUCUUAGUUUUAUUGGGCAGCUUCAAUUCUGCAAUGCAGCAUCUCAGUUAAAUCAAGUAUCAAUCAUCCAGUUAAUUCUUGUCAAUUGGGACUUAUGAAUUAUGAUAGUUUUAAAAAGCUAUCUGGUGUAUUUGUACAGGGAAACAUAAGUUUAGUCACAUUCAAUAUUUCAUGAACACGUAGACUUGUGUCGAUUUCAUGUACAACUCUGUUUGGCAUGCCAUUUUCCCUGUGUUGAUUUUGGGAAGAAAGCAAAUUCUUCUGCUACUUGCAUAGUUAGAAGAUACUAGAUACCAAUUGUUUAAUUUGCCUUAUGGCCGUUUGGGCAGCUGCACAAGCAAUUCCUGAGGAUCUCCUUUCUCUCAAGAGAGAGCAACUCGUCUGCUUCUUUAUGGGAAAGCCAGAUUUAUCCGGGCAUUAGGGGUCAGCCAUUGGUUGUAAUGAACAAGGACUAUGUGGCAGCAAUACUAUUUUUCUCUUCAAUUCUAA
This is a long non-coding RNA of Sorghum bicolor (sorghum), 2845 nucleotides long. RefSeq lists it as uncharacterized. The record is from RefSeq and is a predicted model, not a curated record. The transcript is spliced from 2 exons. NCBI's taxonomy places the organism in Eukaryota, Viridiplantae, Streptophyta, Magnoliopsida, Poales, Poaceae.